GAGAGACUCGGCUGACUGACCCAUGGACCUUCAUCGUAAUCGCCAACUGCUCCUUCCUGCGGCCGCGGCAAACUCACUCCCACCGCCGCCAGCAGGGACAACACCAGCGCUGCCAAGAUCUGCGCGGGGAGAUAACCCGCUUGGCGUGGCGUCCCUGGCUCCCUGGCAUCCCGCUGAGACAACAUGAGGCACAGUCCUGGCCGCCCACUGCUAUAAGGGUAAGGAAGAGGGUGAAGGAGGGCGAGAAGGGAACCCAGAUGAACGUGUUUCGUGGGAUGACAGUGACUCCCUUUGUUGACCACGGCGAAGGGCGGCGUAGGAAGAACAACAGGUAGCAAAGAUGGACUGUACAUGGAUUCACGCAUCUAUUGAUAUAAGUAUACUGUGUCUGCAGAGGGUAAAGUAAUUGUAAUAUGUCUAGUAUAGAAUAAAGAUGUUUGCCAAGUACGAGAAAGGAAUACUUCAGUUAGUUUAGUACUUGUAAGUUGUUGUUGUUGGUGGUGAUGGUGGUGGUGGUAGUUGUGGUGUACUGUAUGCAUAGAGCAAGAUGAGCUUUCUGUCUUUUCUCUAUUUGGGUUUGUUUCAUUCCAAUCUCUGUGUCCUUUGUUUUUUUUUUUUCUUUCUUUGUGUUUUUCUUUCUUCCUUUCCUUUACAUUCUCUCUCUCUCUCUCUCUCUCUCUCUCUCUCUCUCUCUCUCUCUCUCUCUCUCUCUCUCUCUCUCUCUCUCUCUCUCUCUCUGUUUUUGUCCAUCCUUUCUCCUUUAAUUUAUUAAUUUGCUUUCGUUCCGUUGAUUUUUUUUUCUCAAGUAUAACUUGUUUUAUUUUUACAAAAUUAACUCUUAAUGCUCCCAUGGUUCGAAAUCAAUUGUAUUUAUUUGCUGAAUAAGAUUUUCUCCCUCUUUUCAUUCGUUUUUUUUUCUUAUUUUGAAGAGUGUAUCUUCUUUACCAUUUUAAUUUUUUCGUAUUUAUUUUCUCAAGUGGUGAGAUGAUUGUAGUUGGUGAUGAGAUAAUGGUGGUGAUGGUGGUGGUAGCGGUCGAUAGAGUGAUGUGGUGACUGUGGAUGUGUGGUAGCUGUUGUAGUUAAUACUGCCAGCUGCUAUGAACGAAAGAGUUAUUUGAUACGCACGUUUACAGUGAUAAGAUAAAUAAGUAGAGUUUGGGGUGUAGGAAAAUACAUGCUCUCUGAAGAUUCUGUGCAAACCAAGGAGACAGUCUCACGCUUUGCUUCCAUCAAGACAAAUGAAUUCAGUGGGCGGAGCUUAUCGAGUCUGUGGGCGGAGCUUACGAUCAGCAGAUAGAAUCCAAAACAUGCCAAUCUUCCGUGUUGAGCUAUAGGAAUUUAUCACUUGUUUUUUGCAUACUAGACGAAAAAAUAGAAAAUAAUUGAUGGUCUGAGUUAUGAAAAGUACAUUAUAGUUUCCUAAAUGUGCUAUGUAGACCCAUUAUCAAUGACAGAUAUGCCAAAUAACCACAAUAUCGAGAGAAACACAUCAGACGUUUCCAGGAGAAAUGGUAGCAAAAAUGUUGUUUUUCAUUGUUUAUUGAAUGACAAGGCACAAACAGUAAAAAAAAAAAAAAAUCUAUAGAUGCCUUUUAAGUGUACAGUGACAUGGUAUCACACAUAAUUUUAAAUAAGUGCUUUUCAGUCUAAUAUUGCAUGAGAGAGAGAGAGAGAGAGAGAGAGAGAGAGAGAGAGAGAGAGAGAGAGAGAGAGAGAGAGAGAGAGAGAGAGAGAGAGAGAGAGCGGGGUGGGGGGGUUAAGCGAUAGUAUACAAAAAAAAAAAAAUAAAAUAAAAUAAAAAUAAAUAAAUAAACCUUCAGGCCAUCUUUCACCUGAUACACAGUUUAUUUCAUUUCCAUCUGUAUGAACAUGUAUAUGUACAGUACAUACACUAAUCUAAGGGCACAUACAUUAUGUACAUACAUACUGUACAUGCAUACAUACAUACUUAUAUAUACAUACACAGAAACAACUGAGGUAACACACACACACACACACACACACACACACACACAGACAGAAAACCACAAGCAAAUAAACAGAUAAACGAACACGUUGAUGAAGUUCUGAUUUGUACACGCAGAUUGGCUUGCACACACACACACACACACACACACACACAGGGCAGUUAAGCUUGUGAGAGUGUAGUGUUAGCACCACACUACCACACCAUGCCAUACCACAUCAUAUCAUAACACCACCACCACUACAUACCUGCACACCAAACCACCACCAAGCACCACACCACAGUACGGUAUCUUUGGCGACCCGACCUGCCCAGCUCCGCCGAGCCUCGCUAAGCCCUCCUACCCCUGCUCCGUCAUGCUGCGGCUAAGAUAACUAAAGGCUCGCUGUUUAGGUGGAGUGUGAGGGGGAGGAGAGAGGAGAUAUUAGGGAGAGGUGCAAAAAGAAAACUACUUCGGCUCUAUAUAAUUUUAUUUAUUUAUUUUUUAUUAGUGAAGUUUGCAUUGUUUUGAUAUUUAAUCUAUUAAUAGAAAAGUAUAACAGGUUAUAGUAUUUGAUAAAUUCUUGUCUAACUUUUUUUUGGUUUCCGGUUAAAAUAACACUUUCGUCAUUUUAUAAAUUUUCGUUAUUUUUUUAUUACCACACCUAGGAUUGUUUCGGUGUUUGAUUUAAGACUUAGAAACAUAAGAAAUGUAUCCCAAGUAAUACUAUCCAAUAAAAUCGAGUCUAACUUCACAUUCUCAAAUUAAAAAGUCUGUUGCUAGAUUUAAAAAUGAAGAAAAAUAAUAAAAAUCUUUAUAUGA
Molecule: long non-coding RNA, 2768 nt
Organism: Scylla paramamosain (green mud crab)
Lineage: Eukaryota; Metazoa; Arthropoda; Malacostraca; Decapoda; Portunidae
Exons: 2
Source: RefSeq, a predicted model, not a curated record